RNAcentral lists this ribosomal RNA (407 nucleotides) under uncultured bacterium. RNAcentral's name for it is "partial 16S ribosomal RNA". It matches the Rfam family "Bacterial small subunit ribosomal RNA", at positions 30 to 526 of the family's 1533-position model. The record is from RNAcentral.
AUUGAACGCUGGCGGCAGGCCUAACACAUGCAAGUCGAGCGGAGCGGCGGACGGGUGAGUAAUGCCUAGGAAUCUGCCUGGUAGUGGGGGAUAACGUCCGGAAACGGGCGCUAAUACCGCAUACUAUCAGAUGAGCCUAGGUCGGAUUAGCUAGUUGGGGGGGUAAAGGCCUACCAAGGCGACGAUCCGUAUCUGGUGUGAGAGGAUGAUCAGUCACACUGGAACUAGGAGACGGGCCAGACUCCUACGGUAGGCAGCAGUGGGGAAUAUUGGACAAUGGGCGAAAGCCUGAUCCAGCCAUGCCGCGUGUGUGAAGAAGGUCUUCGGAUUGUAAAGCACUUUAAGUUGGGAGGCGGUACCAGCAGAAGAAGCACCGGCUAACUUCGUGCCAGCAGCCGCGGUAAUAC